AGCGGAGGAAAAGAAACUAACUAGGAUUCCCUCAGUAACGGCGAGUGAAGCGGGAAGAGCCCAAAAUUGAAAUCUCCGUGGGUCAACCACGGCGAAUUGUAGUUUCGAAGUGUGUUCUGGUCACUGCCGCAAGUCUAAGUUUCUUUGGAACAAGACAUCGCAGAGGGUGAGAAUCCCGUGUGGCUGCGCGCAGUGGUCUCUAUGAGGCACUUUUGUAGAGUCGGGUUGUUUGGGAAUGCAGCCCAAAAAGGGUGGUAAAUUUCAUCUAAGGCUAAAUAUUGGCACGAGACCGAUAGCGAACAAGUACCGUGAGGGAAAGAUGAAAAGAUUAUUGAAAAAGAUGUUAAACAGUACGUGAAACCGUUAAAAGGGAAACGAUUGGAGCUAGCAGUGUUGUCGUCGUGAUCAAUCGGCAAGAGAUUGGCGAUGCUCUCAUGGCGGAAACAGGUCAACAUCGGUUUACUCUGCGGGAGACGGUUGUUCUCGUGCGCCCUGGUUGCGAGGGGUUCAGCUUUGCCGCGGGGUGGAUCGAGGUCAGAACCUUUGUGUUGUGCGGCCCGUUCUUGGGCUGAUUCCCUGUCUUUGGGCGUCGCAGCUGGCGUUUUACUGGUCUUCACGGGGCAGUUGCGUUGGCUCGGCGUUUAAAUUUGCGGGGUCUCGGUACUUACGGUGCCUAGGAUGUUGACGAAAUGGCUUCAACCGACCCGUCUUGAAACACGGACCAAGGAGUCUAACAUGUGCGCGAGUCUUUGGGUGUCAAACCCACGGGCGUAAUGAAAGUGAAUCGGUGAGAUCUUCGGCGCAUCAUCGACCGAUCUUGAUUUUUUUGAAAGAUUUGAGUAACAGCGCAAAUGUUAGGACCCGAAAGAUGGUGAACUAUGCCUGACUAGGGUGAAGCCAGAGGAAACUCUGGUGGAGGCUCGUAGCGGUUCUGACGUGCAAAUCGAUCGUCAAAGUUGGGUAUAGGGGCGAAAGACUAAUCGAACCAUCUAGUAGCUGGUUCCCACCGAAGUUUCCCUCAGGAUAGCUGGAACUUUUUGACAGUUUUAUCAGGUAAAGCGAAUGAUUAGAGGCCUUGGGGAUGCAAUAUCCUCAACCUAUUCUCAAACUUUAAAUAGGUAAGAGGCUCGACUUUCUUAAUUGAAGCCGGGCACUAGAAUGUAAGUUCCAAGUGGGCCAUUUUUGGUAAGCAGAACUGGCGAUGCGGGAUGAACCGAACGCAGAGUUAAGGUGCCCAAAUCAACGCUCAUCAGAUACCACAAAAGGUGUUGGUUGAUCUAGACAGCAGGACGGUGGCCAUGGAAGUCGGAAUCCGCUAAGGAGUGUGUAACAACUCACCUGCCGAAUCAACUAGCCCUGAAAAUGGAUGGCGCUUAAGCGUUGUACCUAUACUCUGCCGCUGGCGCAAAUGCGAGGCGCCAGCGAGUAGGUGGGCGUGGGGGUUGUGACGAAGCCUUGGGCGUGAGCCUGGGUCGAACGGCCUCUAGUGCAGAUCUUGGUGACAGUAGCAAAUAUUCAAAUGAGAACUUUGAAGACUGAAGUGGAGAAAGGUUCCGUGUGAACAGCAGUUGGACACGGGUUAGUCGGUCCUAAGAGAUAGGGAAACUCCGUUUCAAAGUU
RNAcentral lists this ribosomal RNA (1620 nucleotides) under Hartaetosiga minima. RNAcentral describes it as "eukaryotic LSU rRNA". It matches the Rfam family "Eukaryotic large subunit ribosomal RNA", at positions 49 to 1575 of the family's 3401-position model. Lineage: Eukaryota; Choanoflagellata; Craspedida; Salpingoecidae. The record is from RNAcentral.